RNAcentral lists this small RNA (82 nucleotides) under Marmota monax (woodchuck). Lineage: Eukaryota; Metazoa; Chordata; Mammalia; Rodentia; Sciuridae. The record is from RNAcentral.
ACCAGGCAUGGUGGCACAUGCCUGUAAUCCCAACAGCUUGGAGGCUGAGGCAGGAGGGUCUGGAGUUCAAAGCCAGCCUCAG